This is a long non-coding RNA of Doryrhamphus excisus (bluestripe pipefish), 1054 nucleotides long. RefSeq lists it as uncharacterized. The record is from RefSeq and is a predicted model, not a curated record. NCBI's taxonomy places the organism in Eukaryota, Metazoa, Chordata, Actinopteri, Syngnathiformes, Syngnathidae.
CUGACGCACUGCUGUCGUUGAAGCUACGAGGUUGUGUAGAUAGGUCGUCCUGGUAUAUUUUUUUGUAAGAUAAUAUAAAUCUAUUUUUCUGACAAGUGUUAUCUCCACAAGCUUGAAAUGUGCAUUGAAACGAUGGAUGUGAGCAGCGCUAAACACAUGGAUGCUCUUCGGCUAACUUUGAAUACAACAACAACCAAGCUCCGCUGGACGCAGCUGCGCAUGGCCGCCGAGGAGGACGAGACCUUCGGAUCGUGUCGAGGCACCGCGCCGAAGCAGAACACCAGGAAGCGCCAACGACGGGACGGGCGACGGGCAGUGAGAUUCAUCGGCGUCCCUUACAGCGUGGAACAACGGGAGGACAGACGAGCAGCGGCCUGUACGCGACGACUUCAUCCCGGAGCAAUGGCGCCGGAGAACACCACGCAGUACUUGAUAAGCGAGCACGAAGACAACAUGGCGCCGAGUAGCAAUGACUCCCAGAAACCAACCGCCUCGCUCGAGGGACUUUGAGGACAUGUUUGGCCCAUGUUGGUAACCCGGAUGUCGGGGAAUGACGUGGCCUCGCACUCCUUCAAGGCGGAGGAACUUUUUUCCUGCGGGAAAAGUGGCGCACUGGACGCCGCCCCGCCCAGUCAGGGAGCGCUCCCAAGCCUCCCGCCGCGCUGGCCCGACGAGCGGACCAAACGCACCUCAGCUGUGGUCUGGCCACUGGUUGCAAAGUCAGGUAACACUGGGCAGGUAUUUGUUGCACUGCUUUGUCCUUCAUGGUUCCAUGCGACCUCUGUCACUGUCUGAGAGUUUUCCAGGUCAACCCUGUCGCGACUAAAGGCUCUGCUGCGGGAGACCCUGGAGCUCGGUCUUCCCAGGACUGAUGAAAGGUGACCUUUUAACAUAAGACUUGCAGUCUUUUUAAAAAGACCCAUUAUACACGCGUCUUGUACCUUGGCUCCAUUUUGGUUUGUUUAUAUUGUAUUCAAAUUUGGUUUGGAUAGAUGUGGACCGUGUUGAUUUUUAUAAAUGAAUGUACAAAUAAAGGCGCUUGAUGUAUACUAAA